GACGAACGCUGGCGGCGUGCUUAACACAUGCAAGUCGAACGAUGAAGCUAGAGCUUGCUCUGGUGGAUUAGUGGCGAACGGGUGAGUAACACGUGAGUAACCUGCCCCGAACUCUGGGAUAACUGCUGGAAACGGUAGCUAAUACCGGAUAUGACCAAUGAAGGCAUCUUCUGUUGGUGGAAAGAAUUUCGGUUCGGGAUGGACUCGCGGCCUAUCAGCUUGUUGGUGAGGUAACGGCGCACCAAGGCGACGACGGGUAGCCGGCCUGAGAGGGGGAUCGGCCACACUGGGACUGAGACACGGCCCAGACUCCUACGGGAGGCAGCAGUGGGGAAUAUUGCACAAUGGGCGCAAGCCUGAUUCAGCAACGCCGCGUGAGGGACGACGGCCUUCGGGUUGUAAACCUCUUUUAGUAGGGAAGAAGCGAAAGUGACGGUACCUGCAGAAAAAGCACCGGCUAACUACGUGCCAGCCGCCGCCGUAA
RNAcentral lists this ribosomal RNA (484 nucleotides) under uncultured bacterium. Its description in RNAcentral is "partial 16S ribosomal RNA". It matches the Rfam family "Bacterial small subunit ribosomal RNA", at positions 28 to 523 of the family's 1533-position model. The record is from RNAcentral.